UACGUAGGGAGCAAGCGUUGUUCGGAUUUACUGGGCGUAAAGGGCGCGUAGGCGGCAAUUCAAGUCACUUGUGAAAUCUCCGGGCUUAACUCGGAACGGUCAAGUGAUACUGCUUUGCUAGAGUGCGGAAGGGGCAAUCGGAAUUCUCGGUGUAGCGGUGAAAUGCGUAGAUAUCGAGAGGAACACCUGAGGUGAAGACGGGUUGCUGGGCCGACACUGACGCUGACAGCGCGAAAGCCAGGGGAGCAAUCGGG
Molecule: ribosomal RNA, 254 nt
Filed under: uncultured bacterium
Lineage: Bacteria
Description: partial 16S ribosomal RNA
Rfam family: Bacterial small subunit ribosomal RNA
Source: RNAcentral